UACGAAGGGGACUAGCGUUGUUCGGAUUUACUGGGCGUAAAGCGCGCGUAGGCGGAUCGCUAAGUCAGGGGUGAAAUCCCAGGGCUCAACCCUGGAACUGCCUUUGAUACUGACGAUCUGGAGAUCGGGAGAGGUUGGUGGAAUUCCGAGUGUAGAGGUGAAAUUCGUAGAUAUUCGGAGGAACACCAGAAGCGAAGGCGGCCAACUGGCCCGAUACUGACGCUGAGGCGCGAAAGCGUGGGGAGCAAACGGG
This 253-nucleotide ribosomal RNA is filed under the name uncultured bacterium. RNAcentral's name for it is "partial 16S ribosomal RNA". It matches the Rfam family "Bacterial small subunit ribosomal RNA", at positions 524 to 776 of the family's 1533-position model. The record is from RNAcentral.